This 96-nucleotide non-coding RNA is filed under the name Chloropicon mariensis. Lineage: Eukaryota; Viridiplantae; Chlorophyta; Chloropicophyceae; Chloropicales; Chloropicaceae. The record is from RNAcentral.
GUAUCUUUCCAACCGAGGUGUUGCUUUUUUAUUUCUUCUUUCUCUUUUGGGUUUCUCUUUUGUUUGGUUGUUGUAGCAACGAAGACGAAGGGAGAU